GUAGAUUUAAGUUAAAUGAAACUAUUAAUUUUCAAAAUUAAAAAUGUAAUCUAUA
This 55-nucleotide transfer RNA is filed under the name Angiostrongylus cantonensis (rat lungworm). RNAcentral describes it as "tRNA-Trp". RNAcentral also lists the same sequence under 1 other name. Lineage: Eukaryota; Metazoa; Nematoda; Chromadorea; Rhabditida; Metastrongylidae. The record is from RNAcentral.